CGGUAUCCUUGACGGGAUGGAGCACGACGGACGUCUGGAGCAGAUCCAUCGCCGCUGGUUCGAUCCCGCCGGUGCCGG
RNAcentral lists this transfer RNA (78 nucleotides) under Gluconobacter albidus. Its description in RNAcentral is "tRNA-Ser". Lineage: Bacteria; Pseudomonadati; Pseudomonadota; Alphaproteobacteria; Acetobacterales; Acetobacteraceae. The record is from RNAcentral.